This is a long non-coding RNA of Pseudoliparis swirei, 372 nucleotides long. RefSeq lists it as uncharacterized. The transcript has 3 exons. The record is from RefSeq and is a predicted model, not a curated record. Lineage: Eukaryota; Metazoa; Chordata; Actinopteri; Perciformes; Liparidae.
CCCAGAAGUUACAACGAGCAGGAGAAAUGCUGAGACUGUUGGUGAAGCAGCAAGUCGGCGAGGUCGUUGACGAGGCUUUUGAGCAGUUGGACACAUUGGCAGCAGCGUAUGAGGACAUCGUUUCUCGUUUAGGAGAACAUGAGCUACACACAUCAGCGUGAAGAGGACUCUCUCGUCCAUCAACACCCACAAGGCAACAGGUCCAGACAACAUCCCUGGUCGUGUGCUGAAGGACUGCGCAGAGGAGCUUAAGGACGUCUUCACGGAUGUCUUUAAUACUUCUCUGAGACAAGCUGUUGUUCCAUCAUGCUUCAAGGUAACCACCAUCAUACCUGUGCCAAAGAAAUCCACUCCGUCCUGCUUCAACGACUA